GACGAACGCUGGCGGCGUGCUUAACACAUGCAAGUCGAACGGAAAGGCCCUGCUUUUGUGGGGUGCUCGAGUGGCGAACGGGUGAGUAACACGUGAGUAACCUGCCCUUGACUUUGGGAUAACUUCAGGAAACUGGGGCUAAUACCGGAUAGGAGCUCCUGCUGCAUGGUGGGGGUUGGAAAGUUUCGGCGGUUGGGGAUGGACUCGCGGCUUAUCAGCUUGUUGGUGGGGUAGUGGCUUACCAAGGCUUUGACGGGUAGCCGGCCUGAGAGGGUGAACGGCCACAAUGGGACUGAGAUACGGCCCAGACUCCUACGGGAGGCAGCAGUGGGAAAUAUUGCACAAUGGGCGGAAGCCUGAUGCAGCAACGCCGCGUGCGGGAUGACGGCCUUCGGGUUGUAAACCGCUUUCGCCUGUGACGAAGCGUGAGUGACGGUAAUGGGUAAAGAAGCACCGGCUAACUACGUG
This 468-nucleotide ribosomal RNA is filed under the name uncultured bacterium. RNAcentral's name for it is "partial 16S ribosomal RNA". It matches the Rfam family "Bacterial small subunit ribosomal RNA", at positions 28 to 507 of the family's 1533-position model. The record is from RNAcentral.